CCCUUAGAUGUCCUGGGCCGCACGCGCGUUACACUGAUGCAUUCAACGAGCUUAUAACCUUGGCCGAGAGGCCCGGGCAAUCUUGUUAACGUGCAUCGUGAUAGGGAUAGAUUAUUGAAAUUAUUAAUCUUGAACGAGGAAUUCCUAGUAAACGCAGAUCAUCAAUCUGCAUUGAUUACGUCCCUGCCCUUUGUACACACCGCCCGUCGCACCUACCGACUGGGUGGUCCGGUGAAGCCUCGGGAUUGUGGUUCUUGCCGCUUUAUUGUGGCGUGACCGCGAGAACUUGUCUAAACCUUAUCACCUAGAGGAAGGUGAAGUCGUAACA
Molecule: ribosomal RNA, 328 nt
Filed under: uncultured eukaryote
Lineage: Eukaryota
Description: partial 18S ribosomal RNA
Rfam family: Eukaryotic small subunit ribosomal RNA
Source: RNAcentral